Molecule: long non-coding RNA, 2333 nt
Organism: Nicotiana tabacum (common tobacco)
Lineage: Eukaryota; Viridiplantae; Streptophyta; Magnoliopsida; Solanales; Solanaceae
Source: RefSeq, a predicted model, not a curated record
UUAAAAAGUGUGACAGAGGUUCUAGUGGUGGAUCUGUCUUUUUAUUCUUCCUUCCAACUGCAGACACAUCCUUCUCAUUCAUGUCAGUCUACCUUAUGCACACUAUUUCUGCACUAAAAUCCCCCCUGCUCUCAUCAUAUCUAUUGCCCUAUUCAAUAUAUUACCACCGCUGUAAACAUUGCCAGAAUAUCAUUCAUGAAAUUCACAGAGAGACAGCUAUAUCUAUUUCAACUUAUGGCCAAAUAUUAGUGCAGUUCCCUUUUGCUUUCUGGGGCAUGUACUAUCCUCCUUUUUCCCUGUUUCAGGAAUGACUAAAAUACACAUCUAACAAUAUAAUGGAUAGAUGCCAAAUUUAGCAGGCUCAAUGAGGCCAAGCAAUUUUGUCACACAUGUUGCUCUCACAGUGUGUAUUUAAUGCAGACCCUGCAUUACAAAAACAAAGAAAAGCAAAGGUCUGAAAUUGAGUAACCAUUAUCAAUCUUCCUAGAGUUCAGCCUUGUCUCAAAUCUCAAUGUUAGGUCAUUUUCAAACUAAGCCACAAAUUUGACCUUGACCAAGGCCAAGAUUCCAUGUCCAAAGGACUCUGGAGGCAGGACUUUGGCAUCAUCGAUCAUGUUCUAAAAUUGCAUCAAGAGUAAAACUCAUAUUAUGUUAUAACUAACAGCUAGCACAUCUAAAAUUUGCCAGCUUUAUUUAUCACUUUUCUCUGCAAUUUCUUUCUUUUCAACCUUGACUCCUAUCUCUAUGUAAGUUUCACAAUUCUUCUGCGCUGUGAUAUGUUUUUCAUAAUAUCAGAAACUGAGACAAAGAAGACAUUUGGCCUCUAUGCUUUUUGAGAUAAUACCAUACCGAAGGAAUGAGAGAACUUGCUAAGUUAACUGACUGGGUAGCUUUCUGUUUUUCUUUUUCUUUCUAUGGACAUUAUUUCAACAGUGAAACCAUUCUGCAAACUGAAUUAUUUUCACACUUUGCGUUGUGUUACUUUCAGCACCUGUAAUAGCCCGCUUUCUGAACCCAUGACCAUUUAAUUACCAUGUGUAUUGGGGUCGUCCGGGGGUAUUUUGGGAAAACUGCAAAUAUUUUGGCAAAAGUCACGUGUUAACCCUACUUUAGUUUUGACACGUUGCUUUACACCGCUCAAACGAACAUCUCAUCUACACUCUGUUUCCUCCCGAUUUGCACAGUCUGCAUUUUCUUAUUCAAAAUUUCCAGCAUUGCUCACCUCCUCUUCCAAUUUCCCUUGUCAUUAUACCUUUUCGAAUCACUUGCUAGUCUUUUUCAUUUUAUUUCUACCUUCUCUUUAAUUUUACUGUUCCUUACACGGAUAAUUGUAUAUCUUUUUUAUUGAUUUUUACUUCUGUCUCUGGUUACUAAGUAUUUAAAUGUAAAUCUAAUUUGUAGAUACUGAAAUACUUACAUAAAGCAAGAGUUAUGAAAUGAAAUAUUCAAGGCACCUUAUCAAGAUAUGAAAAGAUAAGAUAUUAGAUUGAAGAAUUUAGCUUUAGACUGAUAGAAUAAAGUAGCAACUCAGUAAACUUCCACCGUUUCUGAAACUCUCCUCCUACUUCCUCACUCCUUUGUUCUUAUCUUCAAAGCUUUGUGGGUUUCCCGUUUUAAUCUUUGUUUUCCCGUAGUUGUUCUGCUUUUAUAUUCCUCUGUUCAGUACUAUCUUUGUUUCUAGUUGAGGGGGAAAUAAAUCAUAACUUUGGUCAGCUGUUGGGUUUUUCGCUGCUACACCCGUGAACUGGUAUUCUUUCAAUUGGAUUGGUCAAAAGUUACGUUGCCAAUUACUCUAGCUUUACAACAUACCAAAGCCGCUGGGUUCUGUAAAGAGUACAAUCAUUUGCCUGAAGUCAUCUGAUGCUACCUGCACAUACUUGAUCAACAAAAAUAUAAAGUUUCUUCUCAGAGGAAACACAAAGUCUUUCGAGAGUUUGUUCAAUUCUAUGGUAAAUGUUGGUGUUUGCUAUGAUGUUGAUAUUUGUUGAAGAAAUGCUUUUCUGCACUUGUAGAAACUGAAGGUUUACUGGCUUGUAUGAUAAGAGGGAGGAAGGAAACUGUCGGUAUGAGUAGAAUGACUUCUGCUUAAACUCUCAUGUCUUGUUGACUAUAGCAAAUGCUUGUCCUCGCAUUUAUCAGCUGAGAGGACUAAACCUAUAGAAUGUUGUUCAAGCAGUAGGCAGAUAGACUUUGGAAUGAGGAACUACUGGAUAAUGUGACUCGAAGCUGUGAAAAGGGACUGAGCAAGGAAUGACUACUGUCUUUCUGCUGUCUGCUAUUGUUCUUGUAAUAGGUCUUAUGUCCGGGCCAAUCCCAUCUAGUAUAUAUANUUA